Molecule: ribosomal RNA, 465 nt
Filed under: Rhodotorula taiwanensis
Lineage: Eukaryota; Fungi; Basidiomycota; Microbotryomycetes; Sporidiobolales; Sporidiobolaceae
Description: LSU rRNA
Rfam family: Eukaryotic large subunit ribosomal RNA
Source: RNAcentral
CGUUGGACCGCAACAAGUCUGUUGGAAUACAGCGGCAUAGUGGUGAGACCCCCGUAUAUGGUGCGGACGCCCAACGCUUUGUGAUACACUUUCGAAGAGUCGAGUUGUUUGGGAAUGCAGCUCAAAUUGGGUGGUAAAUUCCAUCUAAAGCUAAAUAUUGGCGAGAGACCGAUAGCGAACAAGUACCGUGAGGGAAAGAUGAAAAGCACUUUGGAAAGAGAGUUAACAGUACGUGAAAUUGUUGGAAGGGAAACGCUUGAAGUCAGACUUGCUUGCCGAGCAAUCGGUUUGCAGGCCAGCAUCAGUUUUCCGGGGUGGAUAAUGGUAGAGAGAAGGUAGCAGUUUCGGCUGUGUUAUAGCUCUCUGCUGGAUACACCUUGGGGGACUGAGGAACGCAGUGUGCCUUACGGCGGAUUUCUCGAGAUCUUCACACUUAGGAUGCUGGUGGAAUGGCUUUAAACGACC